UGCAGUCGAGGGGUAUAAGUCUUCGGAUUUAGAGACCGGCGCACGGGUGCGUAACGCGUAUGCAAUCUGCCUUUCACAGAGGGAUAGCCCAGAGAAAUUUGGAUUAAUACCUCAUAGUAUUACGACCCGGCAUCGGGAUGUAAUUAAAGUCACAACGGUGAAAGAUGAGCAUGCGUCCCAUUAGCUUGUUGGUAAGGUAACGGCUUACCAAGGCAACGAUGGGUAGGGGUCCUGAGAGGGAGAUCCCCCACACUGGUACUGAGACACGGACCAGACUCCUACGGGAGGCAGCAGUGAGGAAUAUUGGACAAUGGGCGCAAGCCUGAUCCAGCCAUGCCGCGUGCAGGAUGACGGUCCUAUGGAUUGUAAACUGCUUUUGUACGAGAAGAAACACUGAUUCGCGAAUCAGCCUGACGGUAUCGUAAGAAUAAGGAUCGGCUAACUCCGUGCCAGCAGCCGCGGUAAUACGGAGGAUCCAAGCGUUAUCCGGAAUCAUUGGGUUUAAAGGGUCCGUAGGCGGUCUUGUAAGUCAGUGGUGAAAGCCCAUCGCUCAACGGUGGAACGGCCAUUGAUACUGCUGGACUUGAAUUAUUAGGAAGUAACUAGAAUAUGUAGUGUAGCGGUGAAAUGCUUAGAGAUUACAUGGAAUACCAAUUGCGAAGGCAGGUUACUACUAAUGGAUUGACGCUGAUGGACGAAAGCGUGGGUAGCGAACAGGAUUAGAUACCCUGGUAGUCCACGCCGUAAACGAUGGAUACUAGCUGUUGGGAGCGAUCUCAGUGGCUAAGCGAAAGUGAAAAGUAUCCCACCUGGGGAGUACGUUCGCAAGAAUG
This 833-nucleotide ribosomal RNA is filed under the name uncultured bacterium. Its description in RNAcentral is "bacterial SSU rRNA". It matches the Rfam family "Bacterial small subunit ribosomal RNA", at positions 56 to 896 of the family's 1533-position model. The record is from RNAcentral.